GGUUCUGUAGUGUAGUGGUUAGCAUGUCUGCUUUACACACAGCAGGUCCUGGGUUCGUGCCCCAGUGGAGCCA
Molecule: transfer RNA, 73 nt
Filed under: Pteropus alecto (black flying fox)
Lineage: Eukaryota; Metazoa; Chordata; Mammalia; Chiroptera; Pteropodidae
Rfam family: tRNA
About the family: Transfer RNA (tRNA) molecules are approximately 80 nucleotides in length. Their secondary structure includes four short double-helical elements and three loops (D, anti-codon, and T loops).
Source: Rfam by way of RNAcentral